RNAcentral lists this ribosomal RNA (440 nucleotides) under uncultured bacterium. RNAcentral describes it as "partial 16S ribosomal RNA". It matches the Rfam family "Bacterial small subunit ribosomal RNA", at positions 338 to 795 of the family's 1533-position model. The record is from RNAcentral.
CCUACGGGAGGCUGCAGUGGGGAAUAUUGCACAAUGGGGGAAACCCUGAUGCAGCGACGCCGCGUGAAGGAAGAAGUAUUUCGGUAUGUAAACUUCUAUCAGCAGGGAAGUAAAUGACGGUACCUGACUAAGAAGCCCCGGCUAACUACGUGCCAGCAGCCGCGGUAAUACGUAGGGGGCAAGCGUUAUCCGGAUUUACUGGGUGGAAAGGGAGCGUAUGCGGCGUUGCAAGUCAGAAGUGAAAGCCCGGGGCUCAACUCCGGGACUGCUUUUGAAACUGUGUUGCUAGAUUGCAGGAGAGGUAAGUGGAAUUCUUAGUGUAGCGGUGAAAUGCGUAGAUAUUAGGAGGAACACCAGUGGCGAAGGCGGCUUACUAAACUGCCACUGACAUUGAUGCUCGAAAGUGUGGGUAUCAAACAGGAUUAGAUACCCCUGUAGUC